UUUUUAAUUUGAUGGUGGAAAUACUAUUAAUUUCUGGUUUCAUUUUACCCUGUUCUUCCUCUUAGGUGCCUAAACAAUGAUAUCCUGAUUCGCUUUUGGCAAAUCUUAAUUACUUUUACCAACAGUCUCUACAAUUAAGAGGCUUAAGGAGACACGCAUUACUAAAAUCAAAGCUGUUCAUAUCUGCUGCUUUCUCACUAGUGAGUGAUUUCUGUGAAAGCUUGGCAAGUGUCUCAUGAGCUCCCGCUAAGGAUGCAACUACCA
RNAcentral lists this long non-coding RNA (264 nucleotides) under Papio anubis (olive baboon). Its description in RNAcentral is "lncRNA (ENSPANG00000042296.1)". The record is from RNAcentral. Lineage: Eukaryota; Metazoa; Chordata; Mammalia; Primates; Cercopithecidae.